GAGGAGCUGCCCUUAGUACGAGAGGACCGGGGUGGACUGGCCUCUGGUGUAUCUGUUGAACUAUCAAGUUCAUGGCAGAGUAGCCAAGCCGGGACGGGAUAAACGCUGAAGGCAUCUAAGCGUGAAGCCCCCCUCAAGAUGAGAUAUCCCAUACGCAAGUAGUAAGACCCCUUGAAGACGACGAGGUAGAUAGGGCAGAGGUGGAAGCGUAGUAAUACGUGAAGCUGACUGUUACUAAUCGGUCGAGGGCUUAACCAAAA
This 260-nucleotide ribosomal RNA is filed under the name Clostridium sp. AM43-3BH. RNAcentral's name for it is "partial 23S ribosomal RNA". It matches the Rfam family "Bacterial large subunit ribosomal RNA", at positions 2666 to 2925 of the family's 2925-position model. The record is from RNAcentral. Lineage: Bacteria; Bacillati; Bacillota; Clostridia; Eubacteriales; Clostridiaceae.